Long non-coding RNA from Cyprinodon tularosa, 539 nucleotides. RefSeq lists it as uncharacterized. Lineage: Eukaryota; Metazoa; Chordata; Actinopteri; Cyprinodontiformes; Cyprinodontidae. The record is from RefSeq and is a predicted model, not a curated record. The transcript has 3 exons.
CAAUGAAAUUAACGUAUUUUUGUCGAGAGUCAGCUGCAGGCUGGCGUAUGACUGCUAGAACCGUCUGUUUCUUGUCUCGUAGCACAUUUUCUCCACAUGCUUCAGUUCUAAACAAUGAAUGGGAGCAGUCUGCAGCGAUGAGGGACACGUCACAGCAGCCUGACCCUCUACAGACCUGGCUUUAUGAUUUCAAUUCCCUAAAGGUGCCAUUUUUUAAAUAUAUUAACACUAAAACUGUGCAUACUUUAUACAUUCAUGCUGUAUUUGUAUAUACAAUGCUGUUUGUUUAAUGUUUUUUUCCUCCUCACAUGGAUGUACUACAUACCUCAAGCCCUGGUUAAUUUCUGCUCAUUUAGUCAUUACAUUUUUACCAAACAAGUGAUUCUGUUACUUUUCCCAGACUGACAUGUGUUGUUUGUGUGUUCUGUCCUCAGAAGGAAUACCAGUUUUUUAUGUCUUCAAGUUUUAACAGGAACAUAUGCAAACCAGCCAGCACACAGAGACUCUGAUUUUUAAAAUGCAUAUUGUAUUUAAGGGGG